Molecule: non-coding RNA, 749 nt
Organism: Cinara cedri
Lineage: Eukaryota; Metazoa; Arthropoda; Insecta; Hemiptera; Aphididae
Source: the annotation of a GenBank genome assembly
UUAGGUACAGUUUAAAUUCACUAACCCAAAUAAUCAACCAACUUCUGUACAGAAUUGUUUAUUUGUAUAUUUUAUACAACACCAUAUGCUCUAAAAUCAUGUUUAUUUUCAUGUUUCGUUAUUUUUUUUUUUUUGAGAUAUCAAAAAUAACAAAGAACUUAUUAAGCGUUAACAAGCAAUACUUUUAGCGAUUUGCAAUUUAAAUAUGAUGAUCUCUAUGUUUCUUUUUGUUCAAACAUAUUCUGACAGCUAAAUUUUGUUUCACUAUUAAAGAAUAUCAUUACAAUAUCCACACACCUUUCCCAGACAACUAGACCAUAUUGCAUGAUAGACUUGUAUAGAGCGUACAGUAUGCAUGACUUCAGCAGGUAACAUUUUGUUUAGAUUAUAAAACUCCCAAGCGCAUUGUAAGUAUUCUAAAUAUGUAAAUUCUAUCUCAAAUUCCAGUCUAUAAUUAAACCUAAAUAUGUAAUUAAUUAUAUACUUUGUUAAAUCCAAAAAUAUUGCAAAUAAUAAUAUUUUAACUUUUUCACUAUUAUCUAAUUUUUAAUAUAUGAACUUGGUCAUUGAAUAAAGUUUUUAUAAUACCUUUAUCAGGUCAAAAACAAGAUUGAUUAUUUGAUAAUAGUUUAUAACGCUCUAAUGUUAUACAUUUUGAUUUAACAUCAUAGAUAUUGACAGAAAUAUUGGCCUAUGUUAGAUACAUUUUUUUUCCUCCUUAAUUUAUACAAUGAGUAAACUAUAGCUAU